This 403-nucleotide ribosomal RNA is filed under the name uncultured bacterium. Its description in RNAcentral is "partial 16S ribosomal RNA". It matches the Rfam family "Bacterial small subunit ribosomal RNA", at positions 28 to 526 of the family's 1533-position model. The record is from RNAcentral.
GACGAACGCUGGCGGCGUGCCUAAUACAUGCAAGUCGAACGCAGUGGGGACGGGGGAGUAAAACGUGGGUAACCUCCCAUCAGAGGGGAUAACACUUGGAAACAGGUGCUAAACCGAUACUGAUGGAUGGACACGAGGUGCAUUAGCUAGUUGGGGAGGUAACGGCUCACCAAGGCCACGAUGCAUAGCCGACCUGAGAGGGUGAUCGGCCACCCUAGGACUGAGACAAUGCCCAGACUCCUACGGGAGGCAGCAGUAGGGAAGCUUCGGCAAUGGACUCAAGUCUGCCCGAGCAACGCGGCGUGAGUGAAGAAGGUUUUCGGAUCGUAAAACUCUGUUGUUAGAGAAGCGGUAUCUAACCAGAAAGCCACGGCUAACUACGUGCCAGCAGCCGCGGUAAUUC